CAGCAGCCACGGUAAUACGGAGGGGGCUAGCGUUGUUCGGAAUUACUGGGCGUAAAGCGCACGUAGGCGGCUUUGUAAGUUAGAGGUGAAAGCCCGGAGCUCAACUCCGGAAUUGCCUUUAAGACUGCAGAGCUAGCAGGUGAGAGAGGUGAGUGGAAUUCCGAGUGUAGAGGUGAAAUUCGUAGAUAUUCGGAAGAACACCAGUGGCGAAGGCGGCUCACUGGCUCAUACUGGACGCUGAGGUGCGAAAGCGUGGGGAGCAAACAGGAUUAGAUACCCCCGUAGUCCCUGUCUCUUAUAC
This 301-nucleotide ribosomal RNA is filed under the name uncultured bacterium. RNAcentral's name for it is "partial 16S ribosomal RNA". It matches the Rfam family "Bacterial small subunit ribosomal RNA", at positions 509 to 807 of the family's 1533-position model. The record is from RNAcentral.